AGUGACAGAAUUAGAAAGAGAUUUCAUAUUUUCUUUCUAAAAUUUACAUCAUUAAUUUUUAUUCUAGAAGUGCUUACUUUGGUUCUGUAUAUGUUCAUGCUCAUCACGCAUACAUGUGGAAACUCAUGUUAUUGCUGUUUACUUUCUGCUCCCCAAUGUAAUAAGUGUGGUAUGCUUCAAAUGCAUACUUGUGGAAACACAUCGUGUGCUUUUUUUUUUCUUCUUCUUGUAUCAAUAACUUUCAACACAUCAAUAUAAGAUGUGCGUGUGUGUUAGUUUCUUUUCUUUUCUUAUAAUGUGAUGUUAUAAAUAUGUGACCCUAUCUGUUUUUUAUUUAUUUUGAAAGGACCCUAUCUGCUUUCUAUUUAGUGGGAUUAAUUUUCUUUUUUAAGCACUAAUCGUACGAUUGAAGGAAUAAAGGAGAUAAUUUUUUUUUUUUUGAAGGAGGAAUAAAGGAGAUAAUUUUUUUUUUUUUGAAGGAGGAAUAAAGGAGAUAAUGAAAGUAUAAACUUAUUAAUGAAAUGUAAUGUUAAACAAUUUAAUGUCGCAAAUGGAAUGUAUGUCUACAUAUGUACACUGCUUGGGCAAUAUCUCAAACUCAAUAUAUAACUCUACCAAAAAAAAAUGUGUUUAAUUUUUUUCUCUUUCUGUGGAUCCAAUCAUUGAAUAGAAACAUUUUUUUUUAUUUUUUAUCAUAAAUCAUUUAUGUAGUUUUCUCUUCGAAUAGUUUGAUUUUCCCAUCAAAAUCUUCAAAGUACAACACUGUUGCAAUGAAGUUGCCUAGGAUUUGAGUAGUUUUCCUUUUUUAUUUUUAUUUUUUACAUUCAGGGCAGCAUGCAUGCUUAUCUUAUUUCUCUUAAGAAACAUCUAAUUAUAUUGAAUGCUUUCAGAUAUUUUGUUAAAUUUGAAAAAUGUUCUUAUAUGUGAAAUGCAUGAAAGGUAUCUACAUUAGUUUAGUUCUACAGAUGAGUGAGAGCCACGGUUGGACUCAAAGAACUUUUGUGUCAAAGAGAAAAAGUGUUCGAGGUAUGGACUUUUUUCCCAUAAGUCCAUACUAAGUGUUAGGAUCAUGCUAUGAGGUAGUGGUAAAAAUUCUUGUUGUUAGAAAAGAAACAAAAAGAUAAUAAUUAAAGUAUAUUUUCCGUCAAAAAAAAAAAUUAAAGUAUAUUUAUUUAAGUAGUAAAGUCUGGAUUUUUACGAAGUUUAUAUAUGAUAACAUGAUUUGAGGUGAUAUGUGAUGAAUGUUAGGUUUUUACUUUUUACUAUGUGUACAUGAUGACAUAAAUUCUAUGUUAUUUCUGAUUAAAUUUUGAAUUGUUAAUAUGUCUGAAAGCAACGAUGUGGGUUUUGAGAAUGCAAGUUCUGUUAUUGUAUAUUGAUUUACUCUUUGUUUGCCUAAGUGGUGGCUACUUUAUUUGACUAGGUUUGUCUCAGUGGCAGGUUAAUAUCAUAUUUCUUUGUGGUGUUUAAGUGGCGGGAUUUAAUUUUCAUUUUCAUGAUCAUGCAUGAUAUAUGCAUUUCUGUGUGGUGCCUUAGUGGCAGGUUUAAAAAUCAGAAAUUCCUUUGUGGUGUUUUAAUGCUGGGCUGAUUAUAUCUUGACCAUGUAAUCUUUAGGAGGAUGCAUCUUUCACAUAAUAUCAUUUUUUUUUUGUCACAAGGCUAAAAAAGAAAAGCAAACAACAAAAAAAAGAAGAAAACUAAGCUCUAGGGAAAUAAGUUCCCAUGGCAUCGUUCUUGAUCAAAGGAAUGAGGUCUUCUGGCGGAGUAACAUAAGUAGUAAACUCUUCAUUAGAUGUGGCUCCUAGCUUUGCAAAUAAAUCGGCACAUUGGUUCCCUUCUCUUAGACAAUGAUGGAUGGAGAAAUUUCUUGUUGAAAAGAGGUCUUUGAUGUCUUGAAUUAGAACAACAUAGGCAUGGAAAUUAGAAGCCUGUUCAGUGACAAGUUUAAUGGCGAGCAUAGAGUCCGAGUAACAAACCAACUCCUCAAUACCUGCUUCCAAAGCCAUUCUAAGACCGUGAUGUAUAGCAGAAAGUUCUGCAAACAAAAUGUUAGAGGUUGCUGCAAGAUAACCUGAGAAUCCCGAGAGAUAAAACCCAGCAGAGUUCCGGAUGAUGCCCCAUAACCAGCUCGAGUAGGAGAUCCCAAACAUCUCCCAUCUACAUUUAACACAACACAAUUGUAGUUAUUGCUGUUCCAACGAACCUGACAGUCUGAAUUAAGAGCAGGCGCGACAUGGAAAAAGUUGUCAAUAGAAGAAGCCGUAUUUUGAAUGUGACAGAGGAUCGUAGUGAUGGACCAUGUAUCAUGGCUAAGGCACAUCUGAUUACGGUGUCUCCACGACCACCACAGACCAGCGAGGAAGGUGGAAGAGUGCGCACCAGUUGCAUUAACUUUGAGCCAGCUGUGCGCAGUUCCUUCAAAAAAGGGAUCUUGGGCAGUAAAACCGAGCUUGAUCCAUAUGAUUUUAGAAAAAUUGCAGUCUUUUAAGCAAUGCAGUAGAGUUUCAUCAUGUUCCCCACAUCUUGAACAUGUUGCAGAGGGAGCAAUGUGGCGGUGGUGAAGCAAAUCAAGAGUAGGUACCAAUUUAGAUAAGGAAAUUGAUCCUUACAAUAAUAUAAUCUAGGGAGUAGUUGAUUAGAAUAAUUUGGUAAAAUAACAUAUCUCUUUCUUCGUUGAUGAUAGGACAUUCACAACUGCUUGUGAGCUUCUUUUCCAAUAGAAGAUGUGGUUGCAAAAGACACCUUGACGGUCAAAUCAGGUUGGGUGCUAGAAGGUAGAAGAUAGGUCAAUUAGUUUUAUAUAUUAGGUAAAAUAGAAUUAAAUUAAAAUUAACAUGUUUAUGUUUUUGCUAGUGUGUGUAUCAAUAUAUAUAUAUAUAUAUAUAUAUAUAUAUAUAUAUAUAUAUAUAUAUAUAUAUNUAUAUAGGGUAAUGUUAGAGACCACACAUCCAUAAAUGAGAAGGGUGUUCAUUAGCAUAUCACACCUAGUUGUAAAAGAAAAAAAAACAUUCUCUUUCUUUAAAAAUAAGUGAAGACAAAAGGGUAAGAUUGUAAUCUAAAAUUAAUUACUAAAAUAUUCUUACUUUCCCUUUUCAUUUCCCGCUUUACCCUACCCUGUUUCCAAAUACUUCUUAAAAAAAAAAUGCUUCCAAAUAAAAUAAAAUAAAUUAGAUUGAGUUAAAUAAAAAAGCCGAUAUUUGUAAAGAAAAAUAAAAUAAAGAGUAUUACAUUAGUGCCGAUCAAUAGGAACACAAAUUUUAUUUUUAAAAGUCAAAGCCAUUUGUACCAAAACAAAAGUCAAAAAAUCACAAGAAUUUUUUUCAUUCUUUACAAAGGCAACAAAAUGAUCGGUUGAUAGCAAGAGAGAGAAAAGGGAUGUAUGUAUGUGAUGAAAUAUCUUUAAGAGUCAUAUCCAUUCAAUCACUAAUGAAGAAAGAGAAAUUGUUUUUUUGUCUUCUACAUCCAAGUGUCGUAUGCUAAUGAACACCUUAUCAUUUAUGGGUGGAUGGUCUCUUUUUUUUUUUUUUUUUUGACAAGUGGGUGGUCUCUAGCUUUACCUGUAUAUAUAAAAUUGACGUAUUAAAACUAAGGUAGUGGGGGUGUGUUUAUUUCUUUUUCUGGUACAUGGUGUUUUUUUCUUGUAACAAAUUAAUGGAGAUUAUGUGUACUCUUUUUUUUUUUUUUUUUUAAAGAUUAUGUGUACUCUUAAAAACCCUAUUUGUUGCAACACGGGUCCAAUAAAUCUGUAAAAUUAAUUGAAAAAAAAUCACGAAGACUUCUACCUCAGAAAAAAAAAAAAAAAUCACGAAGACUUUAUUAGUUUACUCGGUCAUUCUUUAACAUUUAUGUGUAAGGUGGAAUUAACUAAUUUAUAUUUGCAACUUAACAAAUUGUUUAAGGAGAAAACUUAAUUUGUCAAUUUCCUUGGUCAUUCUUUUUUUUUUUUGUCAAGUAGCCUAGUGGCUAGAGCUCACACAAUUUAAUUGUGGAGAAGUGGGGUGUCCGAGGUUCGAACCCCAACCCCUGCAUAUAAUCUGCAAUAUCCCUACUAACUGAGUUAAGCUUACGGGAAUUCCUUAGUCAUUCUUUAACAUCUAUUAAGCAAAAGUGGGACAUAACUAAUUUAUAUUGACAGCGUAACAAAUUGUUUAAAGAGAAGACUUAAUUUGUGAAUUUAUUUGGUCAUUCUUUUAUUGGGAGUUUCUAGUUUGCAAGGAAAUUGACUUUUUUGAAAAA
RNAcentral lists this long non-coding RNA (4236 nucleotides) under Medicago truncatula (barrel medic). Its description in RNAcentral is "long non-coding RNA (MTRU_LNC003940)". Lineage: Eukaryota; Viridiplantae; Streptophyta; Magnoliopsida; Fabales; Fabaceae. The record is from RNAcentral.